GACCAAACGAGACCCCCAUUCACGGCUGUCAAUGUUUAAUUUUGAGAUUGCUGGUUUUAAUUUGGCACACAGCAGGUCUCAGCCACGGAGCAGAAGUCUGUGCAGGGAACUCAGGACCGGCUGGCAUCUGCUGUGCCUCAGCUCCGGCUGCUGGAAACUGAAACGCGGUAAGAGACCUUUGCGGCUUUGGAAGACCUGGAGUUUAACUCCUGCACUGUGACAUAUUCAAGAUGUCCUUGGAAAGUCAUCACUUCUUCCUGGGACACCUGACACUUCUGGGCACCCUAACGCAGACCUGAGAUCAUUGAUGAACAAUUUCUGCCUGAAAUGAAUUGCCUUCGACUUCUGUUGCUCCUGGAAGGAGGACACCAGGCAUGCCACAGGCUGCGGACCAGAAAAUG
Long non-coding RNA from Cuculus canorus (common cuckoo), 401 nucleotides. RefSeq lists it as uncharacterized. Lineage: Eukaryota; Metazoa; Chordata; Aves; Cuculiformes; Cuculidae. The transcript has 3 exons. The record is from RefSeq and is a predicted model, not a curated record.